RNAcentral lists this ribosomal RNA (497 nucleotides) under uncultured bacterium. RNAcentral's name for it is "partial 16S ribosomal RNA". It matches the Rfam family "Bacterial small subunit ribosomal RNA", at positions 28 to 507 of the family's 1533-position model. The record is from RNAcentral.
GAUGAACGCUGGCGGCGUGCCUAAUACAUGCAAGUCGAGCGAACGGACGAGAAGCUUGCUUCUCUGAUGUUAGCGGCGGACGGGUGAGUAACACGUGGAUAACCUACCUAUAAGACUGGGAUAACUUCGGGAAACCGGAGCUAAUACCGGAUAAUAUUUUGAACCGCAUGGUUCUAAAGUGAAAGACGGUCUUGCUGUCACUUAUAGAUGGAUCCGCGCUGCAUUAGCUAGUUGGUAAGGUAACGGCUUACCAAGGCAACGAUGCAUAGCCGACCUGAGAGGGGGAUCGGCCACACUGGAACUGAGACACGGUUCAGAAUCCUACGGGAGGAAGCAGUAGGGAAUCUUCCGCAAUGGGCGAAAGCCUGACGGAGCAACGCCGCGUGAGUGAUGAAGGUCUUCGGAUCGUAAAACUCUGUUAUUAGGGAAGAAAACAUGUGUAAGUAACUGUGCACAUCUUGACGGUACCUAAUCAGAAAGACAAGGAUAACUACGUG